AUGCCUACGAGCUUUUCACAUAUUGUGCUUCGCUUAUUUACUUUUCCGUUGCUACUGUUACAAUUACUACAAAUCUAUUAUCUUUACUUUUACCACUAUUACCAUUACUAUCAUACUACUUUGCUACUAAAUACUCUGUUGCAGAUACUAAGUUAUCCAGGUGUGGUUGAAUUGACAACUCAACUGCUAAUACUUAAGAAUAUUCUUUGGCUCCCCUUGUGUCGAAUUAAUAAAUUUGGGUUGAAUACUCUACCCUUGAAAGUUGUUGCGAUCGCCUACACUUGUGGGUUAUCAAGACUAAUUUCUGGUGCCAUUGCCGGGGAGCAUAGCUCUAUUCUAUGA
This 342-nucleotide ribosomal RNA is filed under the name Triticum aestivum (bread wheat). RNAcentral's name for it is "partial small subunit ribosomal RNA". The record is from RNAcentral. Lineage: Eukaryota; Viridiplantae; Streptophyta; Magnoliopsida; Poales; Poaceae.